AUUGAACGCUGGCGGCAUGCCUUACACAUGCAAGUCGAACGGCAGCACGGGACCUUGCUCCUGGUGGCGAGUGGCGAACGGGUGAGUAAUACAUCGGAACGUACCCUGAAGUGGGGGGAUAACGUAGCGAAAGUUACGCUAAUACCGCAUAUUCUGUGAGCAGGAAAGAGGGGGAUCGCAAGACCUCUUGCUUUAGGAGCGGCCGAUGUCGGAUUAGCUAGUUGGUGAGGUAAAGGCUCACCAAGGCGACGAUCCGUAGCGGGUCUGAGAGGAUGAUCCGCCACACUGGGACUGAGACACGGCCCAGACUCCUACGGGGGGCAGCAGUGGGGAAUUUUGGACAAUGGGCGCAAGCCUGAUCCAGCCAUGCCGCGUGAGUGAAGAAGGCCUCGG
Molecule: ribosomal RNA, 393 nt
Filed under: uncultured bacterium
Lineage: Bacteria
Description: bacterial SSU rRNA
Rfam family: Bacterial small subunit ribosomal RNA
Source: RNAcentral